AUUGAACGCUGGCGGCAUGCUUUACACAUGCAAGUCGAACGGUAACAGGCCUUCGGGUGCUGACGAGUGGCGAACGGGUGAGUAAUGCAUCGGAACGUGCCCAAUCGUGGGGGAUAACGUAGCGAAAGUUACGCUAAUACCGCAUAAGCCCUGAGGGGGAAAGUGGGGGACCGCAAGGCCUCACGCGAAUGGAGCGGCCGAUGUCAGAUUAGCUAGUUGGUGGGGUAAAGGCCCACCAAGGCGACGAUCUGUAGCGGGUCUGAGAGGAUGAUCCGCCACACUGGGACUGAGACACGGCCCAGACUCCUACGGGAGGCAGCAGUGGGGAAUUUUGGACAAUGGGGGCAACCCUGAUCCAGCCAUGCCGCGUGCGGGAAGAAGGCC
RNAcentral lists this ribosomal RNA (384 nucleotides) under uncultured bacterium. RNAcentral's name for it is "bacterial SSU rRNA". It matches the Rfam family "Bacterial small subunit ribosomal RNA", at positions 29 to 416 of the family's 1533-position model. The record is from RNAcentral.